This 504-nucleotide ribosomal RNA is filed under the name uncultured bacterium. RNAcentral describes it as "partial 16S ribosomal RNA". It matches the Rfam family "Bacterial small subunit ribosomal RNA", at positions 29 to 507 of the family's 1533-position model. The record is from RNAcentral.
ACGAACGCUGGCGGCGUGCCUAAUACAUGCAAGUAGAACGCACAGUUUAUACCGUAGCUUGCUACACCAUAGACUGUGAGUUGCGAACGGGUGAGUAACGCGUAGGUAACCUGCCUGGUAGCGGGGGAUAACUAUUGGAAACGAUAGCUAAUACCGCAUAAUAUUAAUUAUUGCAUGAUAAUUAAUUGAAAGGUGCAAUUGCACCACUACCAGAUGGACCUGCGUUGUAUUAGCUAGUAGGUGAGGUAACGGCUCACCUAGGCGACGAUACAUAGCCGACCUGAGAGGGUGAUCGGCCACACUGGGACUGAGACACGGCCCAGACUCCUACGGGAGGCAGCAGUAGGGAAUCUUCGGCAAUGGACGAAAGGCUGACCGAGCAACGCCGCGUGAGUGAAGAAGGUUUUCGGAUCGUAAAGCUCUGUUGUAAGAGAAGAACGGGUGUGAGAGUGGAAAGUUCACACUGUGACGGUAUCUGAACAGAAAGGGACGGCUAACUACGUG